GACGAGUGCUGGCGGCGUGCUUAACACAUGCAAGUCGAACGGAAAGGCCCUGCUUUUGUGGGGUGCUCGAGUGGCGAACGGGUGAGUAACACGUGAGUAACCUGCCCUUGACUUUGGGAUAACUUCAGGAAACUGGGGCUAAUACCGGAUAGGAGCUCCUGCUGCAUGGUGGGGGUUGGAAAGUUUCGGCGGUUGGGGAUGGACUCGCGGCUUAUCAGCUUGUUGGUGGGGUAGUGGCUUACCAAGGCUUUGACGGGUAGCCGGCCUGAGAGGGUGACCGGCCACAUUGGGACUGAGAUACGGCCCAGACUCCUACGGGAGGCAGCAGUGGGGAAUAUUGCACAAUGGGCGGAAGCCUGAUGCAGCAACGCCGCGUGCGGGAUGACGGCCUUCGGGUUGUAAACCGCUUUCGCCUGUGACGAAGCGUGAGUGACGGUAAUGGGUAAAGAAGCACCGGCUAACUACGUG
This 468-nucleotide ribosomal RNA is filed under the name uncultured bacterium. RNAcentral describes it as "partial 16S ribosomal RNA". It matches the Rfam family "Bacterial small subunit ribosomal RNA", at positions 28 to 507 of the family's 1533-position model. The record is from RNAcentral.